CGGACGGGUGAGUAAUGUCUGGGAAACUGCCUGAUGAGGGGGGUACACUGGAAACGGUAGCUAAUACCGCAUAACGUCGCAAGACCAAAGAGGGGGACCUUCGGGCCUCUUGCCAUCGGAUGUGCCCAGAUGGGAUUAGCUAGUAGGUGGGGUAACGGCUCACCUAGGCGACGAUCCCUAGCUGGUCUGAGAGGAUGACCAGCCACACUGGAACUGAGACACGGUCCAG
Molecule: ribosomal RNA, 229 nt
Filed under: uncultured bacterium
Lineage: Bacteria
Description: partial 16S ribosomal RNA
Rfam family: Bacterial small subunit ribosomal RNA
Source: RNAcentral